Non-coding RNA from Drosophila melanogaster (fruit fly), 932 nucleotides. The record is from Ensembl. Lineage: Eukaryota; Metazoa; Arthropoda; Insecta; Diptera; Drosophilidae.
AAUUAACAGUUUUGUAUAGCAAAUGUGAUUUGCCCGAUGAAGUCAUAUCUAGACGUUUUGAUAUCUCAUUAUCGGCUAACAUUCGAUAAUCGGGAGAAUGAUGGCCGCCGUGAAUUAUGGAACCCGGAAUACGGUACUUGGAACCGGGGAGUAUGGCAUCCAAACAUCCACUUGCCGACGGCAAAACCAUCAUGGCCGAGUUUAUAUCGAAGCGCGCCAACAACAAAUCACAUGCACGCACACAUGCAGGCCAUCACUCACACGCACACAAUCACAAUUCAGCAUCGCUCUCACUCUCUCUCUUUCUCCUACGCUCUCGCUCUCCCACAGCUGUUGUGGAGCGGAAAAAGAACAACAACACAAGUUGGCCGAAUUUUUGCAGCCGCUGCUUCUGCUUGCGGCGCUGCCAGCGUCGUAAACAGGGAGGAGUCCGCCACAGACGCACACUCAUAAAGCAUUCUCAGAGACCGCACACACACAAGCGCGGCACACAAACGCACAAGAUGGAUGGCGGCGCAGGCAGAGAGCGAGAGUGCGAGCGAGAGGGGCAGACGCGGGUGCGAGCGAGACGGCCAGAUGCGGCCGCGUUAAGUGUGACGAAUGUGCCAUUAUUUUGCUUUAUGUGUGUCGUGAGCGCGCCGCACUGCUCUUUUUUCAAUUGCCAUUUCUCACAUAAAUUUACGCAGUCGUCGGCUGCUCUGCUGACGGCGCUGCCAGUGAGCUCCAGUUGAGAAUUUUUGCCUUUCUGAGUGCGGAGAAUUCUCUUGGUGGAACAGUGGUGCUGAAAAUUCCAGUUGGAACUGCAAGUUCGCCAGCGGCAAAAAUUCUACCGGAUGUUAAUGCAAUUUUUGAAAUGUCGUACUUGCUUGGAGUCUCCAUUAUGGGUGUUUUAUGGCGUUCUUUGGUAUAUUCAAAUAUAUUUUUACUGAAAC